This 2942-nucleotide ribosomal RNA is filed under the name Priestia megaterium. Its description in RNAcentral is "Bacillus megaterium 23S ribosomal RNA". It matches the Rfam family "Bacterial large subunit ribosomal RNA". Lineage: Bacteria; Bacillati; Bacillota; Bacilli; Caryophanales; Bacillaceae. The record is from RNAcentral.
AUGGUUAAGUUAGAAAGGGCGCACGGUGAAUGCCUUGGCACUAGGAGCCGAUGAAGGACGGGACUAACACCGAUAUGCUUCGGGGAGCUGUAAGUGAGCUUUGAUCCGGAGAUUUCCGAAUGGGGAAACCCACUGUUCGUAAUGGAACAGUAUCUUUAUCUGAAUACAUAGGAUAUUGAAGGCAGACCCGGGGAACUGAAACAUCUAAGUACCCGGAGGAAGAGAAAGCAAAUGCGAUUUCCUGAGUAGCGGCGAGCGAAACGGAAUUAGCCCAAACCAAGAGGCUUGCCUCUUGGGGUUGUAGGACACUCUAUACGGAGUUACAAAGGAACGAAGUAAAUGAAGCGACCUGGAAAGGUCCGUCAAAGAAGGUAACAACCCUGUAGUUGAAACUUCGUUCCCUCUUGAGUGGAUCCUGAGUACGGCGGAACACGUGAAAUUCCGUCGGAAGCUGGGAGGACCAUCUCCCAAGGCUAAAUACUACCUAGUGACCGAUAGUGAACCAGUACCGUGAGGGAAAGGUGAAAAGCACCCCGGAAGGGGAGUGAAAGAGAUCCUGAAACCGUGUGCCUACAAGUAGUCAGAGCCCGUUAACGGGUGAUGGCGUGCCUUUUGUAGAAUGAACCGGCGAGUUACGAUCCCAUGCAAGGUUAAGCUGAUAAGGCGGAGCCGUAGCGAAAGCGAGUCUGAAUAGGGCGUUUAGUAUGUGGUUGUAGACCCGAAACCAGGUGAUCUACCCAUGUCCAGGGUGAAGUUCAGGUAACACUGAAUGGAGGCCCGAACCCACGCACGUUGAAAAGUGCGGGGAUGAGGUGUGGGUAGCGGAGAAAUUCCAAUCGAACCUGGAGAUAGCUGGUUCUCUCCGAAAUAGCUUUAGGGCUAGCCUCAUGUUGUGAGAGUCUUGGAGGUAGAGCACUGAUUGGACUAGGGGCCCCCAACGGGUUACCGAAUUCAGUCAAACUCCGAAUGCCAAAGACUUAUCCAUGGGAGUCAGACUGCGAGUGAUAAGAUCCGUAGUCAAAAGGGAAACAGCCCAGACCACCAGCUAAGGUCCCCAAGUAUACGUUAAGUGGAAAAGGAUGUGGAGUUGCUUAGACAACCAGGAUGUUGGCUUAGAAGCGUACCACCAUUUAAAGAGUGCGUAAUAGCUCACUGGUCGAGUGACUCUGCGCCGAAAAUGUACCGGGGCUAAACGUAUCACCGAAGCUGUGGAUUGACAUCUUUGAUGUCAGUGGUAGGAGAGCGUUCUAAGUGCUGUGAAGUCAGACCGUAAGGACUGGUGGAGCGCUUAGAAGUGAGAAUGCCGGUAUGAGUAGCGAAAGACAAGUGAGAAUCUUGUCCACCGAAUGCCUAAGGUUUCCUGAGGAAGGCUCGUCCGCUCAGGGUUAGUCGGGACCUAAGCCGAGGCUGAAAAGCGUAGGCGAUGGCCAACAGGUUGAUAUUCCUGUACCACCUCCCCGCCGUUUGAGUAAUGGGGGGACGCAGUAGGAUAGGGUAAGCGCGGCCGCUGGAUAUGCGCGUUCAAGCAGUUAGGCUGAUGAGUAGGCAAAUCCGCUCAUCAUAAAGGCUGAGCUGUGAUGACGAGGGAAUUAUAGUACCGAAGUUCCUGAUUCCACACUGCCAAGAAAAGCCUCUAGCGAGGCGGGAGGUGCCCGUACCGCAAACCGACACAGGUAGGCGAGGAGAGAAUCCUAAGGUGAUCGAGAGAACUCUCGUUAAGGAACUCGGCAAAAUGACCCCGUAACUUCGGGAGAAGGGGUGCUCUGGUAGGGUGUAUAGCCCGAGAGAGCCGCAGUGAAUAGGCCCAGGCGACUGUUUAGCAAAAACACAGGUCUCUGCGAAGCCGCAAGGCGAAGUAUAGGGGCUGACGCCUGCCCGGUGCUGGAAGGUUAAGAGGAGGGGUUAUCCUUUGGGAGAAGCUCUGAAUCGAAGCCCCAGUAAACGGCGGCCGUAACUAUAACGGUCCUAAGGUAGCGAAAUUCCUUGUCGGGUAAGUUCCGACCCGCACGAAAGGCGUAACGAUCUGGGCACUGUCUCAACGAGAGACUCGGUGAAAUUAUAGUCCCUGUGAAGAUGCAGGUUACCCGCGACAGGACGGAAAGACCCCGUGGAGCUUUACUGUAGCCUGAUAUUGAAUUUUGGUACAGCUUGUACAGUAUAGGUAGGAGCCUGAGAAGCCGGAGCGCUAGCUUCGGUGGAGGCGUCGGUGGGAUACUACCCUGGCUGUAUUGAAAUUCUAACCCGCGGCCCUGAUCGGGCCGGGAGACAGUGGCAGGUGGGCAGUUUGACUGGGGCGGUCGCCUCCUAAAAUGUAACGGAGGCGCCCAAAGGUUCCCUCAGAAUGGUUGGAAAUCAUUCGUAGAGUGUAAAGGCACAAGGGAGCUUGACUGCGAGACCUACAAGUCGAGCAGGGACGAAAGUCGGGCUUAGUGAUCCGGUGGUUCCGCAUGGAAGGGCCAUCGCUCAACGGAUAAAAGCUACCCCGGGGAUAACAGGCUUAUCUCCCCCAAGAGUCCACAUCGACGGGGAGGUUUGGCACCUCGAUGUCGGCUCAUCGCAUCCUGGGGCUGUAGUCGGUCCCAAGGGUUGGGCUGUUCGCCCAUUAAAGCGGUACGCGAGCUGGGUUCAGAACGUCGUGAGACAGUUCGGUCCCUAUCCGUCGUGGGCGUAGGAAAUUUGAGAGGAGCUGUCCUUAGUACGAGAGGACCGGGAUGGACACACCGCUGGUGUACCAGUUGUCUUGCCAAAGGCAUCGCUGGGUAGCUAUGUGUGGACGGGAUAAGUGCUGAAAGCAUCUAAGCAUGAAGCCCCCCUCAAGAUGAGAUUUCCCAUAGCGCAAGCUAGUAAGAUCCCUGAAAGAUGAUCAGGUUGAUAGGUCAGAGGUGGAAGCGUGGCGACAUGUGUAGCUGACUGAUACUAAUCGAUCGAGGACUUAACCAAAC